Molecule: non-coding RNA, 399 nt
Organism: Pararhizobium polonicum
Lineage: Bacteria; Pseudomonadati; Pseudomonadota; Alphaproteobacteria; Hyphomicrobiales; Rhizobiaceae
Rfam family: Bacterial RNase P class A
About the family: Ribonuclease P (RNase P) is a ubiquitous endoribonuclease, found in archaea, bacteria and eukarya as well as chloroplasts and mitochondria.
Source: Rfam
CCAGUUGGCCGGGCAGCCGCGCUCCGCUAGGACCGAAAGGUUGCGGGGGGAGGAAAGUCCGGGCUCCACGGAAAAACGGUGCCGGAUAACGUCCGGCGGGGGCGACCCCAGGGAAAGUGCCACAGAGAGAAUACCGCCUGCGUUCGCGCAGGUAAGGGUGAAAGGGUGGGGUAAGAGCCCACCGCGCGCAUGGCAACAUGGGUGGCAAGGCAAACCCCACCGGGAGCAAGACCGAAUAGGGAUGACGUGGUUCGCGCAAGCGUUCCGGCCUUUUCCGGGCCAGUCAUCCGGGUGGGUUGCAGGAGGCAGCGCGCAAGCGUUGUCCCAGAUGAAUGGCUGCCACGUUCCGGCUUUCGGGCCGGAGCCAUACAGAACCCGGCUUACAGGCCAACUGGCAAA